This 446-nucleotide ribosomal RNA is filed under the name uncultured bacterium. Its description in RNAcentral is "partial 16S ribosomal RNA". It matches the Rfam family "Bacterial small subunit ribosomal RNA", at positions 338 to 795 of the family's 1533-position model. The record is from RNAcentral.
CCUACGGGUGGCAGCAGUCGAGAAUCAUUCACAAUGGGGGAAACCCUGAUGGUGCGACGCCGCGUGGGGGAAUGAAGGUCUUCGGAUUGUAAACCCCUGUCAUGUGGGAGCAAAUUAAAAAGAUAGUACCACAAGAGGAAGAGACGGCUAACUCUGUGCCAGCAGCCGCGGUAAUACAGAGGGCUCAAGCGUUGUUCGGAAUCACUGGGCGUAAGGCGUGCGUAGGCUGUUUCGUAAGUCGUGUGUGAAAGGCGCGGGCUCAACCCGCGGACGGCACAUGAUACUGCGAGACUAGAGUAAUGGAGGGGGAACCGGAAUUCUCGGUGUAGCAGUGAAAUGCGUAGAUAUCGAGAGGAACACUCGUGGCGAAGGCGGGUUCCUGGACAUUAACUGACGCUGAGGCACGAAGGCCAGGGGAGCGAAAGGGAUUAGAUACCCCGGUAGUC